CCGCCGGGCCGGGCGCCCUCGCCGCCCUCCGGCUGCCGCGCCGCUCCUUCUCUGCGCGCUGAGGCCGCGCCACCCCACGGGCGGUGGCCGGAGCAGUGAGGCCACCGAGCCCCGCGCCCCCUGCGCGCUCGGAAAGGGCUUCGGCCCUCAGCGAGUUGGUGGCCCCGACGCGGGAAGAGCCGCGCCUAGGACGGUGCGUCUGGCCUCUCCCGCGGCUUCUCGCCCUGACAAGUUUGAACAAUGAUCACUGUCAACCCAGAUGGGAAGAUAAUGGUCAGAAGAUGCCUGGUCACUCUGAGACCCUUCCGGUGUGAGCAUGCCCUGGACAGUCAAUGGUGCAGGCUGAGAGCCAGUGUGUGGGGGAGUCCUGGGCACAGCAGCGGGCCAUGUGGCCCUGCCUUGGGAUCUCACCAGAAGCAGUGAUGGGUGCCGGCACCACCUCUGAGAAGACAGGCUUUUUGUCCUGGGCAUCGGCUUCUUCACCGUCUGCUUCCUGAUGACCUCUCUGGGAGGCCAGUUCUCGGCACGGCGCCUGGGGGACUCGCCCUUCACCAUCCGCACGGAAGUGCUGGGUGGCCCUGAGUCCCGUGGCGUCCUCCGCAAGAUGAGCGACCUGCUGGAGCUGAUGGUGAAGCGCAUGGACACGCUGGCCAGGCUGGAGAACAGCAGCGGGCUGCACCCGGAGGCCGGCGACCCCCACGCGGCUGCCCACAGAAUGAAAAAAAACCAAACCUUCCACGACCUGAGGAGGUCACAGCCCCCAGGACCCGAGGGGAGCACCAUCGGAGUCGUGUCUGCCGCCCGUUAAACAAGACCACGGUGAGACCGGAGGCGCUAACUCCCUUCCUGUCCACUCGGCCCGGCCACACGCACCUGGUCAUACGCACACCCGGCCACACGCACACCCGGCCACACACACACCC
RNAcentral lists this long non-coding RNA (923 nucleotides) under Ictidomys tridecemlineatus (thirteen-lined ground squirrel). RNAcentral describes it as "lncRNA (ENSSTOG00000029942.1)". The record is from RNAcentral. Lineage: Eukaryota; Metazoa; Chordata; Mammalia; Rodentia; Sciuridae.